This 280-nucleotide long non-coding RNA is filed under the name Homo sapiens (human). RNAcentral describes it as "HSALNT0157281". The record is from RNAcentral. Lineage: Eukaryota; Metazoa; Chordata; Mammalia; Primates; Hominidae.
ACACUGCUUGAACCCCUUAGACGCAGGUGUACUCCUGGGCCCAUAGUCAGGGGCUCAUACGUACUCCCAUAACGUAACUGUGUAGUUUGUGGUGUCCGUCCAGCUCCAAGCUGCCGUCACGCUCAGCUGUAGGGGUUGGCUUGGGUAUAAUUUGAUGGAAUCUGUCAGGGUUCGUGGAGUCAUUGCCAUCUGAGUCAGCUCCCAGAGCCGCCUCAAGGCCAGGUUUCCAAAUGGCCUCACACAGUUUCCUUUCUGCCAGGAUUUUCAAAGGAUUAGAGUU